CGUAGGUGAACCUGCGGAAGGAUCAUUAAUGAGUUGUCAUGGGGUUGGAUGCUGGCAGCCAAUUUUUGGAUGCAUGUGCUUGCCCUAACAAUCAUCUUCCAAACACCUGUGCACAUUUUUGAGGGAGUCUUGAGUUGGUUGCCGCUCUUGGGUGAUUUUCUCACAUUCCCUUAAAUCAUUAUACGCUAUUAACAAUGUUGAACGUGCUCUGUGCCGCAAGGCUAUUAAUAUAAUACAACUUUUAACAACGGAUCUCUUGGCUCUC
This 265-nucleotide unclassified non-coding RNA is filed under the name plant metagenome. RNAcentral's name for it is "partial contains small subunit ribosomal RNA, internal transcribed spacer 1, and 5.8S ribosomal RNA". The record is from RNAcentral.